RNAcentral lists this long non-coding RNA (633 nucleotides) under Brassica napus (rape). RNAcentral's name for it is "long non-coding RNA (BNAP_LNC004921)". The record is from RNAcentral. Lineage: Eukaryota; Viridiplantae; Streptophyta; Magnoliopsida; Brassicales; Brassicaceae.
UGAUGCGGUAGAUUUCGAGUUGUGCAUAGCCAUUUCUGCGAAGACGAUUAAGAAGUAAUCAAGAAAUCAAGAAGUGGUGAGCUAGAUUGAUUUGGAUGAAUAGAAGAAGAAGUAAAGAAUCUGAUACCUGCUUGCCUGUAAGGAGAAGAUCCAACCAAUAAGCAAACCACCUUUAGCUGUGCUUAUCGUCUCCCAGAAACGGAUUAACCGGAAGCCUAGUUCUGAUUCAGAUGUUGGGUAAAUACACAGCGACAUAAGACAUUCCAGAGGACUUAGCAGAUCUCAUGGACAUAGCUUGAUCUUCGACUGAAGAAGUCGUAGAUUACGGUAUAUAUAAGAAUCGAGAAAUAGAUCAUACAGGAGGUGAGAGGAUACAUCUUGUAAGAAGGUGUAAAGAGCAGAAACAAUGAUUUUAGAGUGGAUAGUUACUGCAAAGUAACGGAGAUUUGGAGAGAAUGGAACAAUGGCUACGGAGAGAAAUUGUAAGAGACUAUUGACUAAAGAAGGAAAUCGUGGGUUUCGUCGGAAAAUGUAACAUGGGUCUGAAAUGGGCCACAACCAAAUUUUAGAAGACCAAAACAUUUGGCCCAUGUCGAUAAAGAGGAUGUAACGUGGCAAAAUAGGACAUCGAAU